GCAGCCUCUGUCCAAUAUAAAUUUGUUUUAUUGAAGCAGUGAAGUCACAUGACCUUGCAUCUAGAUUUUAGGAUGGUCACAGAAUUGGCCACAGUAAUCAGCCCUGAAAAUGAUGUUUUUCUUUGUACUAAUAGACAUAUUGUGUUUACAUACAGCAUCCAGGAUUGGAAAUCACCAGACUCAAACACAGCAUGUGUUGAUUUAUUGGGAGGUACAGCCUCACUGGAAAUCAAACUUCUUUAAAAAAAAAAAAAGUUACCCCCAAACCAAGAGCACAGUGUUCAAAGCCAGCAGUUUACAAUUUGUUAUUUAUCCCUUUAAAUGGACAUUUUCUUUUCAAAAACAGUUUGCUGAAAUCCCUUUUUUAUCAAAUCCAAUAACAUACUAAAUAUAAACUGUACCCCUUGGACAAGGCAAUGAAAUAACAGUUUAUUUGGAAGGGGAAUCGAGAGAAAAUACAUCUACAUCUUGAUUUUUGUUAACAAAAAUGUAUAUUUCAUUAAUUUAGGGAAAAGGAAAGGUAAUGGCAGUCAAAAGAGAAGUGGAAAAUUAGAGAGGACAAAGAAAGAGGGCUGGGAAUCGAAAUAAAGACCACACACUUCUGAAUUUGAAUUUCAUUUCCAGGCUAACCUACUUUUUAUUUAAUGCAAAUUACAGUACCAGUUAACUAUUUCCAAACUGAGUCACACAGAACAAAAUGUAUUUACAAGGGAAUGGGGGAAGGAAAAAAAAAACAUUAAGCAUACUGUCCACAAAAAAGUAUAUAUUUAAAUGAAAAAAAAAAAUUCAGUCACAGAGGCAUUCAAGUAGUAAUAAUGUUAUACAGGUUUUGCUUUUUCCUUUAAAUCAAGACAGAUUUGCACAAGUGUUUGCAAUAGUUUGUAUACAACCCACAGUCCUUUAUAUAUAUAUAUAUAUAUAUAUUUAUAUAUAUUUAGAUUUCUGUUUCUAAUAUGGAAGUGGUCACGCUAAUCGGUGUGUGUACAGGCCCAAGUGAUCCAUCGGCAACACAUUUAUAAAUGCAAAUUUUACAGGCAAGCACAUUUUCAUACAUCUAUCUGCAUCUUCUUGUAGACAGAUAUAUAAAAAAGUUUAGAAUGAAUUAACACAAGGAAGCUACUUUUCAAGCUAACCCCUUAUGCAUGGUUUGUCAUUUUGC
This 1159-nucleotide long non-coding RNA is filed under the name Sarcophilus harrisii (Tasmanian devil). Its description in RNAcentral is "lncRNA (ENSSHAG00000028601.1)". The record is from RNAcentral. Lineage: Eukaryota; Metazoa; Chordata; Mammalia; Dasyuromorphia; Dasyuridae.